UGCUUCAAGGAUCAAGGGAUAGCAGG
Molecule: non-coding RNA, 26 nt
Filed under: Rattus norvegicus (Norway rat)
Lineage: Eukaryota; Metazoa; Chordata; Mammalia; Rodentia; Muridae
Source: RNAcentral